UAUUGGCACUAAUCUCACUCCAUAGUUUUGUUCUCUUGACAGAAGCUUCUUCACCACCUUCUAAGAAACGUGCAAAGGUCCAAGGAGAACAGGAGGCGCAGAAAGAAAGGAAGGUUUUCUUUCUGAGGAGAAGCAGCAGGGUUACCGCGGCCCAGGCGCCGACCAACAGCGACGAAGACGACGACGCCGACGAAGAACACGUCCCGUUUUACCUGUCAGAGGGCGUCUUUGACGGAGACGAAGAUGACAUGGAUGAGGAGGCGCUGAGGAGCGUGGAGAGGAAAUGCCCCUACUGCCCCGAUCGGUUUCAUAAUGGAAUCGGCCUGGCCAAUCACGUACGAGGACACUUGAAGCGAGUGGGCGUCAGCUACAACGUGCGUCACUUCAUCUCUCCAGAGGAAGUCAACGCGAUUGAGAAGAAGUUCUCCUAUCAGAAGAAGAAGAAAAAAGUUGCCAACUUUGACCCCGACACAUUCAGCUUGAUGCACUGCGAGUUCUGCAGCGCCGGCUUCGACACACGGGCCGGCCUGUCCAGUCACGCUCGGGCUCACCUGCGGGACUUUGGGAUCACUAAUUGGGACGUUACCAUCUCACCUAUCCACAUUUUGAGGGAGUUGUUCUCCAGCAGGCCAGACCUGAUGACUACAGAUCCCCCUCGCAGUCUCGGCAGCUCUUCGGAGGAAGACGAAGUUGAGGAUUGCGAUGAGGGGGACUCUGGGGACGGAGGAAUUAUUAAGGUUAAGCUUGAAGGGGAGACGAGUGAAAAGAGCCCCCACCCCUCUGACUCUGUUGACCUGAGUUCAGGAUAUCAUCGACGCAGGAAGAAAAAGAAAAGACUGGAGGACCGUGAUGGUGAUGACAAGGAUGCGGCAGAUGAAGACGAUGAGGAGGGUCUCCGGCUGUCGCUGGAUGGUCUGUGCUCCAGUGUGGGGAAAAAGGACCGGCUCACCCAGAGGGAGGAUGUAGGCACCAAAGCCCAGAAGUGGAAGUGUGAGGUCUGCGACUCUCAGUUCGAGAGCAAACGUGGACUCUCCAUCCACUCUCGCGCUCACCUGCGCCAGCUGGGCGUCACCGUCUCCGACAGCGGCUGGUCGGCCAUCGAUCUGCUCCACCGGGUGGCCAUGGAACGCAGCAUAGACGGCAAGAUAAGCUCGUCUCUUCUCACGCCCAAGAAACCCUCCCUGCCUGUUUCCCUUAAAGAUGAGGAGGACAUGGAGCUGGACGAGAAACCCAUCCCUCUGUCCAUCCUGGCCAAAGCGGCAAAGGCGGUGCCGUCUGGCUCCGCCACGCCUACACCUUCUCCGGGUGCCUCUCCAGCUCCGGCUCACUCCAACUCGCCUUCCUCAGUAGUGAAGAAAGCCCCCAUUUCAUCUCUACUGCCCGUGUCUUCCCCUUUGCGCUCCCCAGAGCCCAAAGUUGGGGGACUGAAGGGCUUGACCUCUAACCUAUCUGCUGCCUCUGCAACGUCAAAGCCACUUUGGGCUCCACAGGAGAACGAUGCUCCCCUCAACCUCACACUGGAUGCAGACUCCGAUAAGGACAUCGUUUGCCAGCUGUGCGGCGCCUGGUUCGAGACCCGUAAAGGCCUCUCUAGCCACGCCCGAGCCCACCUGCGACAUUUCGGUGUGGAAUACUCCGAGUCCAAGGGCUCUCCUAUUGAACUCCUGAGCCAGCUGAUGGACACGGACGACUUCAAGCACAAAGCAAGUGCGCUGGAGCUCAACUGUCCUACAGAAACGGAGGACGCCCCCGCCGCGCUUCCCACGGCGAAGCAGCCGGUGCUGACACUCUCCUCUUCUUCCUCUGCGUCACUCCUCUACAAGGUGACCACGGUCGGGGGUGGGUCCAAAGCUACCUCUUCCUCCGCUUCGUCCUUACCUGGCCGACCCGCCAAGCGGCUCAAGACUGCCUCCAUGCAGGUCUUCCGCCUCAGCAGUGGCGAGCUGAUGGCCCUUCCACACAACGAACCUCCAAAGGAAAUUGGCUGUGAAUACUGCGGCGAGUAUUUUGAGAACCGGAAAGGACUUUCCAGCCAUGCCCGCUCCCACCUGCGCCAAAUGGGGAUAACGGAGUGGUCCGUCAACGGGUCGCCAAUAGACACGUUAAGGGAGAUCAUCACGAGGCGGGGCCUGCCCUGCGCUCUUCCUCUUAAGCCUCUGAAAACCCCUCCGUCGUCCUCUCCGGGGCCCCCUCGCUCCCCUCUGUCCACUUCCUCGUCUCCCUCAGCCUCGCUCCUUGGCCGCCUGCCUUUUGCCUUCGCCCGCCCCUCCAGCCCGCCUCAGUCGGUGAUGUCCAAGUCCAGCUCGGCCGCUCCGAUGCCUUCCAGCGGCCUGACUCUCAAGCCAAAGCCCGAGCCGGUGCAGGUGGAGGUCACCGCGCCCGGACCUGUGGGGAGAUCCAGAAGUUUUCCGGUUGACUCUCCGAACUCCAGCUGGAGCGGCUCUGAUAAAGCUUACCCCCUCAACUUAGCCAUGUCCCACGAAGCGGAGCCUACGAGGGACAUUCGAUGCGAGUUCUGCGGGGAAUAUUUCGAGAACCGCAAAGGUCUGUCCAGCCACGCGCGGUCCCAUCUAAGGCAAAUGGGCAUCACGGAGUGGUCCGUCAACGGCUCGCCCAUCGACACCCUGAGGGAGGUCAUGCACAAGCGAGGGGCUGGCGGCUCGUCUCGCUCAGAGCAAGGAGUGAAGAAAGAGUCCCGCCAAGGAACCAGCAGUCCCUUAUGGGAAAACGUGGGAGGAGCCAGGGGGUCGGACGGUUUGGGUGUUUCCGGUUACCAGUCCUCCAAAUUCCGGAAAUCUCCUCUCAGUUUGGUGCAGUCUGGGUCACGGAUCCUUAAACAGGGGGUGAGCUCCGUGGGUCAACCUGCGGGGAAGCUGUUCCGAUUGUCCCCACUGGGUAAAAGGCCGUCAUCAGAUCAGGCCCAGUCGGCUGAGACUGGGGCAGCACAGGCACAUCGACUCAAGACCUUCUCAUCACUUCCACACGAUUUCUCCUACAAAAGGAAACCCUCGCCAGAAAAGCACGGACACCAGGACCCCAGCUGCGAGCUUUGCGGCUUCUACUUUGAGAACCGUAAGGCUUUAGCCAGCCAUGCGCGCGCCCACCUGAGGCAGUUCGGUGUGACUGAGUGGUCUGUGAACGGGUCGCCUAUCGAGACGCUCAGCGCUUGGAUCCGCAGUAGACCUCAGAAGGUUCUGGAGAUGCACCGGAACUACAUGCAGGGGAACCGCUCCACUCAGAAGAAGAAGAGGAGCUCCCUGGCUUCGUCAGCGGAUUCUGAUCAUGUCCUCCCCAUCUCAUCGCAGAAGGCCCACUCCUCGUACUCCUCUUCCUCCCAAUGGUCUCCUUCCUUCGCUGCUAGCCUGGCUCGCCCGCGGAGCCAAGAGCUCCAGCGGGGUUCCUCAGAGACGGCUGACGAGGAGUCGGGUACCAGCUCACGGUCGGCUUCAGGCCGGGCCGGUGGCAGCAGCCCCACCUUCUCACGCCUCGGCAGCAGCCUGCAGACGCAGGUGGCCCGCAGCGAGCUGAAUGUCCGCCUGUCAAGAGGUUUCGAGCGUCGUCCCAUGAAGCACCCAACCUGCCCAGACGGAUCAGAGCGAGACACUGGCUCUCCAAAGCCGCCACGCACAGGCACCGUCCCCUCACUGGUGCCCAAACCCCCUUCCUACCCACUGGUCAAACUGGUGGGCAAGUUCUACACCCUGAAGUGCCGGUUCUGCGAGGUGGAGUUCCACGGCCCGCUGUCGGUGCAGGAGGACUGGAUCAGACACCUCCAGCAGCACAUCUUCAAGAUGAACUACAAUAAGCCUGGCGCUCUAAAAGCAGCCGCCACCAACCCCCACAACCCCACCCCGGUCCAGGCCUCGGACCCCGGUUCAAGAACCGCCUCCACCCCGACCCGCUCCACCGCCUCCAACAGCCGCUCCCCAACGCCCGUGGCAGAGUUCGCCCCUGCCAUAACUGCCAAAGAGAUCACCCAGGUCUCAGAGGAGCAGCGCGCCAUAAUCCCCACUCCCUUUCCUCUCCCCACGCAGACGGUGUGAGCUCCAGCUCCUCCCAUGUCGCUACAGGUCCACCUUUGUUCGUCCAUUGCUUUCCUUCCUUUUAACCUUCAGCAAACUUUUAGGGAGGAACUUCCCUUUAUCAGAAGAGCACCUUUGAAGCAUCUCUAGUGUCCCCAAGUCCAGUUGCCAUGGGAACAAAACUCUCCGGGCUCCUCUGCGGAUUGGGGAUGGGUGAUGAUGGAAAAGAUUCAAGCGAAGCUGCUUGAACGAGAGUUAAAAGGGACUCGUGUGUGAGCCUGUCUGGCUGUGGAGUCUGGUCUGGACUUGAAAUUCACCCAUGGUUGUGAGGAUGUGCCAAAGAGCCCGUUUACUUCCAUAUCCUGCCUCUGUAAAAGCUGUUUACAUUGGACCCGAUGGUGAGGAGCCAGCACGCUCGGUGGACGACGGCGGACUCAACCUUUUGUUUUGGCAUAAACCCUGCUUCCUAAAAGACUUGAUGGGACAAGCGUUACUGUAGGGUUAUAUUUAUUCCACUUGCAAACCAAACACGAGUGAAAAAAGGGGGCGGGGCUUUUGAGAUCAGUGGGAAACGUCUGGAUCCCGAGGCUGUAAUCAGCUCAUUUUUAUUUUUGACGUUUCCUCUGUUCAGACGUUAGGAGACACUUCAAGGGUCCAUCCAGGUUGAGAUUUCCAGUGUUUCCCAUGCUUAAAACGUGAAUGUUUGAUCCAAAUGAUUCCUCAACCCUUUUAUGGACUAUAUAUACAUAGCUAUAUAACUACAUAUACUUAAAGAAACUGCUGGUGCUAAUAGAGCCGUCAGCAUUUCUGUUAGCAGAGUAGUUCAACAAUAAGUGAUCUUAAAUUCCUUUUAUUGUGAGUUGAUUUCAACAUUUGAUGCUUUGUAUUUUUAUUAAUCUGUGUGUUUUACGUACAUUUGCAGUCCGGCAGAGGCAAAUCUUUGGGUGUUUUUCUUUUCUAUUUUUUUGUUUUACCUGUUAGUUUCUCCACGCUGAAACUGGGUGGUGGUGGUGGGAAAGGUGGCGACUUAUCUUCAUGAGAUGGUCGCAUCUUGUCAUCAGAACACUAUGAGACCAUAAAGGGGGACCGCUUUGCCAAGUGACGCAGGCUCCUCCUCCUUCUCUAGAUUCGGUAUGAAGAGGCCCAGAAAGAGAGAGUACCUGGAAGAGCCUCAUCUGGUGUAACUUGCUGUUCUGUGUGCGAGUGUGUGUAUGUUUUAUGUUUGAAUGUUUUACAAUAGCAGCUGAGGAACAAACAGUACUGUACACAAAGGGUCAUGUUUCAAGUAAAUCGACUACAGAACAAACAAUAAAUGUGAUUUCAGAUUCAGAA
RNA transcript from Cyprinodon tularosa, 5354 nucleotides. It is a transcript of the gene named protein Wiz, with no coding region annotated. The transcript is spliced from 12 exons. NCBI's taxonomy places the organism in Eukaryota, Metazoa, Chordata, Actinopteri, Cyprinodontiformes, Cyprinodontidae. The record is from RefSeq and is a predicted model, not a curated record.